This 194-nucleotide ribosomal RNA is filed under the name uncultured bacterium. RNAcentral's name for it is "partial 16S ribosomal RNA". It matches the Rfam family "Bacterial small subunit ribosomal RNA", at positions 338 to 524 of the family's 1533-position model. The record is from RNAcentral.
CCUACGGGAGGCAGCAGUGGGGAAUAUUGGACAAUGGGCGCAAGCCUGAUCCAGCAAUGCCGCGUGUGUGAAGAAGGCCUGCGGGUUGUAAAGCACUUUUAGUGGGGAGGAAAUGCUUAGGGUUAAUACCCCUUGGUUUUGACGUUACCUACAGAAGAAGCACCGGCUAACUCCGUGCCAGCAGCCGCGGUAAU